AACGAACGCUGGCGGCAGGCCUAACACAUGCAAGUCGAGCGCCCAGCAAUGGGAGCGGCAGACGGGUGAGUAACGCGUGGGAACCUUCCCAAUGGUACGGAAUAGCUCAGGGAAACUUGAGGUAAUACCGAAUAAGCCCGAAAGGGGAAAGAUUUAUCGCCAUUGGAUGGGCCCGCGUAGGAUUAGCUAGUUGGUGAGGUAAUGGCUCACCAAGGCGACGAUCCUUAGCUGGUUUGAGAGAAUGACCAGCCACACUGGGACUGAGACACGGCCCAGACUCCUACGGGAGGCAACAGUGGGGAAUCUUGGACAAUGGGCGCAAGCCUGAUCCAGCCAUGCCGCGUGAGUGACGAAGGUCUUCGGAUUGUAAAGCUCUUUUGCCAGGGACGAUAAUGACGGUACCUGGAGAAUAAGCCCCGGCUAACUUCGUGCCAGCAGCCGCGGUAAC
RNAcentral lists this ribosomal RNA (448 nucleotides) under uncultured bacterium. RNAcentral's name for it is "bacterial SSU rRNA". It matches the Rfam family "Bacterial small subunit ribosomal RNA", at positions 29 to 524 of the family's 1533-position model. The record is from RNAcentral.